This is a long non-coding RNA of Stegostoma tigrinum, 775 nucleotides long. RefSeq lists it as uncharacterized. The record is from RefSeq and is a predicted model, not a curated record. Lineage: Eukaryota; Metazoa; Chordata; Chondrichthyes; Orectolobiformes; Stegostomatidae. The transcript is spliced from 3 exons.
UGAAGAUUUUGGAGUGUAUCGUGCUCUCUUGUGCCACUCAGAUGUUCAGAUGAGGACACAUGAAUCACAGGGAUCUGGUGACAGGUGAGAGUGUCACUGAUCAGGCAGCAUUUAUCGCCCAUCCCUAAUUGCCCAGAGGACAGUUCAGAGUCAACCACAUUCCUGUGGAUCUGGGAGUCACGUGGAGGCCAGACCAGGUCAUCUGCUCAUUCAUUUGAAAUGACGUCAUUGUUGCUGGAGAACUUGCAGCAUUGUUCCAAAGCAAAGACCACAUUGAAGGAGAGCACAAUUCCAACAUUUUUAGCAAAUUCAGCAAGAACAGCAAGCUCCAAAGUGGUUGCAGCAGAUCCAUCUAGGAAAUAGAGUCGAAUGUUGAGAUUCUGCACUUCCUGUAAUUUUCGCCUGCUCUCAUAAGAUUGUGCAGAGGAAAGAUAUCCUGGACCAUCAUCGCUGAACUGUGUAAUAUGGUGGAACAAAACUUGGGCAUUGAGUGGUCAUCUCAUCUGAGUGGCUAUCAGGGUUAUAGUAGCCCUGAAUUUUUAUGCCAGGGCUCAUUUCCAGGAGCAACUCUACGUCAACAUGGAGUCUCCCAGUCCUUGGCCCCAGAAAUGCACCAGGGAUGUAACAGAUGCCAUUUUCUCUAGAUCAUAGAAGGCUAUAUCCUUCCCUAUGAUAAUGUGAUUCAGGCAUUCCAGGCAGCAUAUUCUCUAUCAUUGCUAGCUUCUCCCAGAUGCCCCACAUUGCUUUGAAAGUACCGUAACAUCAACCUGUACAA